RNAcentral lists this ribosomal RNA (627 nucleotides) under Paecilomyces variotii. RNAcentral's name for it is "eukaryotic LSU rRNA". The stretch from base 242 to 395 matches the Rfam family "5.8S ribosomal RNA". The record is from RNAcentral. Lineage: Eukaryota; Fungi; Ascomycota; Eurotiomycetes; Eurotiales; Thermoascaceae.
UGGAAGUAAAAAGUCGUAACAAGGUUUCCGUAGGUGAACCUGCGGAAGGAUCAUUACCGAGUGAGGGUCCCUCGGGGCCCAACCUCCCAUCCGUGUUGUCCUGACACCUGUUGCUUCGGCGGGCCCGCCGUGGUUCACGCCCCGGCCGCCGGGGGGUUCACGCCCCCGGGCCCGCGCCCGCCGAAGACCCCUGGAACGCUGCCUGGAAGGUUGCCGUCUGAGUAUACAAUCAAUCAAUUAAAACUUUCAACAACGGAUCUCUUGGUUCCGGCAUCGAUGAAGAACGCAGCGAAAUGCGAUAAGUAAUGUGAAUUGCAGAAUUCCGUGAAUCAUCGAAUCUUUGAACGCACAUUGCGCCCCCUGGCAUUCCGGGGGGCAUGCCUGUCCGAGCGUCAUUGCUAACCCUCCAGCCCGGCUGGUGUGUUGGGCCGCCGUCCCCCCUCCCCGGGGGACGGGCCCGAAAGGCAGCGGCGGCGUCGCGUCCGGUCCUCGAGCGUAUGGGGCUCUGUCACACGCUUCAGUAGAACCGGCCGGCUUGCUGGCCAUCACCUAUAUUUUUCUCUUAGGUUGACCUCGGAUCAGGUAGGGAUACCCGCUGAACUUAAGCAUAUCAAUAAGGCGGAGGAA